GACGUUUCAUAUCUUCGGUUCAUUCAAUGCUAUGAAGACAAAAAUACCACGUUCGAUUCAGUGUACCAAUAUGUCCUCAUUCAUAGCGAUAGUUUUAGUCGAUGUCAACAUUAUAGCGAUUUAUGAGCUUUGAAAGUCAAGCGAGUUCGUGUAUUAUCAAAUUACGCAAUUGUCUGAACAAUAAUAUAGGACUAGCCAUACCUUUCGCCGAACAUAACUUCGGCCCCUUCGGACGUAACUUUGUAAUAGUCUUGUUCCAAUCGCUAUCAAAAACACUACUUAGAGUGUCAUUUACAAGGGCAUAUUGUAAACACUGGACUGGACUAUGGACUUUGGACUAUGGACUUUGGACUUUGGACUCGAGCCUGUAUCUUCAAAUCUGCACUUUUAUCACGGUAUCACAUCUAUGCCAUCACUCGAUAUAUCGGUAUCAAUUACGAAAAUAACAAUAGUUUAUAUUAUAAAUACGGCAACAGUAACUUCUAUAAUUAGCACUAAUUAUUCUAAUUCUUUACUCCUGUCAAUCAAAAAUUCAGAAUCAACAUUCUGACCAAUCAGAAUGCUCCGGCACCCAGCUGCCGGGGAGAACUCAGAAUGUGUAGUUUUUGGACAGGCGGUAUUUCUAGCUUCCCAUUCUCUCGUGCCCGCGAAUACCGCCUGCUACGCAGGCUAGUUUUGUAUCUGUUCGUGCUAGUCGUUCUAUAGCUCUAUAAAAUGCCUCGUCCGAUAAUUAUCUGUCAUCGUGAAUACACUUCGUUGACUAUUUUAAUACCGUGGCACCAGCUUACAUAACUCUUUAAACGUGCAGUAACGAACCAAGCUUAUUUGAACAUGUGAUUGUAUGAAAGAUCUUAUUCACUAGCCG
Non-coding RNA from Paramuricea clavata, 865 nucleotides. Lineage: Eukaryota; Metazoa; Cnidaria; Anthozoa; Malacalcyonacea; Plexauridae. The record is from the annotation of a GenBank genome assembly.